UCAGGACGAACGCUGGCGGCGUGCCUAAUACAUGCAAGUCGGACGGUCUUUCUAUGGAAGCUUGCUUCCACUGAGAAGAUAGUGGCGAACGGGUGAGUAACACGUGGGUAACCUGCCCAUAAGAGGGGGGAUAACAUCCGGAAACGGGUGCUAAUACCGCAUAGUUUUCUUGAUCGCAUGAUCGGGAAAGGAAAGACGGCCUUUGUGCUGUCGCUUAUGGAUGGACCCGCGGCGUAUUAGUUAGUUGGUGAGGUAACGGCUCACCAAGACGAUGAUACGUAGCCGACCUGAGAGGGUGAUCGGCCACAUUGGGACUGAGACACGGCCCAAACUCCUACGGGAGGCAGCAGUAGGGAAUCUUCCGCAAUGGACGAAAGUCUGACGGAGCAACGCCGCGUGAGUGAAGAAAAGGUUUUCGGAUCGUAAAACUCUGUUGUCAGAGAAGAACAAGUUGGAGAGUAACUGCUCCAGCCUUGACGGUAUCUGACCAGAAAGCCACGGCUAACUACGUGCCAGCAGCCGC
Molecule: ribosomal RNA, 523 nt
Filed under: uncultured bacterium
Lineage: Bacteria
Description: bacterial SSU rRNA
Rfam family: Bacterial small subunit ribosomal RNA
Source: RNAcentral